AUUUCUUAUCUCAUGUCUGCUUUUCGUGAAAAAAUACCAAUUGAAGUGGAGGGUUUCUUCAAACAACAAGGGGCU
This is a non-coding RNA of Capsicum annuum, 75 nucleotides long. NCBI's taxonomy places the organism in Eukaryota, Viridiplantae, Streptophyta, Magnoliopsida, Solanales, Solanaceae. The record is from the annotation of a RefSeq genome assembly.